GUCAUUUCAAUAUUGCAAAAAACCUUAUUUGAAUCAAUAGCAUAUGUCUUUAAAGCAUUAACGCAUUGUUUUAUCUGGUGCCACUAUAAAAGGUUUUGGAAACUUUGAUAACGAAAGUUUGUAAACAGGUAAAAUGAUGUAAAACUUCUGGUUAUGGUUAUUUUUUUCUAUACAAAGCAAUGUAAUGGUGUGCAUGUUGUGUGUGACAUUUCAACUCUAGUUCUCGACAUGAUUGUUGUGUUUAUACUUUGGUGUUGACAUGAAUAUCAAUAUAAUGUGGUCAUUUUAUAAAUUUCCUGUUUACAAAACUUUGAUUUUUUUGGAAAAACUAAGGAUUUUCUUAUCCCAGGCAUAUAUUACCUUAGCCGUAUUUGGCACAACAUUUUGGAAUUUUGGACCCUCAAUGCUUUCAACUUUGUCCUUGUUUGGC
RNAcentral lists this long non-coding RNA (430 nucleotides) under Mytilus galloprovincialis (Mediterranean mussel). The record is from RNAcentral. Lineage: Eukaryota; Metazoa; Mollusca; Bivalvia; Mytilida; Mytilidae.